UUGGAUAUAGCUGCUACUCUUUCGUCUUGGACCCCAGAAUGAACGUGUGGAUCUCCAGCCUCCCCACUAACCUGUGGGCCUGAGAACAAGAGCUCCCUGUUGCACUGCUGACUGAUACACAUAGUGCAAGCACAGCUGGCCCUCCAUACAGCUUGGGAAGAUGGAUCAAUAUGGCCUGUAGAGUAAGAAGACCUAUAUCCAGAUCUGCAUUUUACUGUUUUCUCUGGGGGGAUUGGAGAUAAUGCUGCAGAAAAGCCAAGUACACUCCCAAGGAUAGGAUUUGGCAGGAGCAGCUGCGACAGUGAGCUGGUGGAUCCCUGGCCAGGAGGGAGCACAAUGAUAAAAGAUUCAGGACUGUCAGAAAUGCUGGAUGCUGUAGAAAAGGAUUGGAUGAUGCCUUCUCACUGGCCCCAGGGCUCUUGGAAUUUGUUCUAGAGAAGCACAAAAAGAAGGGAGCAGGUGCUGGGAGCCACAUCUCAAGUUGAAAAGCAUACAGAACAAUUAUUUACUGAGAACUUGUGAAUGCCAAGAGCUGAUCAUGUGUGGCUGGAAUGGUAAGAGGUUGUGUGAGGAAUAUGAUCUAAAUUAGACCUGGUACCAUCCUUUAAGAGACCUUAUGGUAAUAACCAGAGUGAGCAAAAAUGCAGCACUGGGAAUCAAUGCUUAGGAUAGGAUAUGUUGUAGAACACUCCAAACUCUGGGUUACAAAUUAGAAUACUAAAAUCCCUAUUACACAGAUAGUUUGUAUGGCUAUUUAAAGAUAUCAUGCCACACCUCUGCUCAGCAUCAGUGUCCUGCUCUAUUCAUACCUGCAUGAAAAUAAGUUCACUUUAUUUGCCACUGAAUAGGUUUCCAUAAUUAGAAGGGAAUUUUUACUCCUCCCUGCAGGAGGGGAAGAUAUAAACUGAACAAUCCAUGACUGAAGCAGAAAUAACUUCACUAAUGGCUGAAUUUGGGGAGAGAUAAAGAGCAUGUCCAACUCUGUCUCUUCUCUCUCCUCUUUCAAAACUGCUUGUCCAUAGAGAGGGUGAAUUUUUCCAUUCACCCAUUGAUAUAGUCAGUAUAUUUGUCCCCACCCAAAUCUCAUGUUGAAUUGUAA
This is a long non-coding RNA of Homo sapiens (human), 1099 nucleotides long. Ensembl annotates it as long intergenic non-protein coding RNA 2055. NCBI's taxonomy places the organism in Eukaryota, Metazoa, Chordata, Mammalia, Primates, Hominidae. The record is from Ensembl.